Molecule: ribosomal RNA, 1630 nt
Filed under: Klebsiella variicola
Lineage: Bacteria; Pseudomonadati; Pseudomonadota; Gammaproteobacteria; Enterobacterales; Enterobacteriaceae
Description: partial 23S ribosomal RNA
Rfam family: Bacterial large subunit ribosomal RNA
Source: RNAcentral
UGCUGGAGGUAUCAGAAGUGCGAAUGCUGACAUAAGUAACGAUAAAGCGGGUGAAAAGCCCGCUCGCCGGAAGACCAAGGGUUCCUGUCCAACGUUAAUCGGGGCAGGGUGAGUCGACCCCUAAGGCGAGGCCGAAAGGCGUAGUCGAUGGGAAACAGGUUAAUAUUCCUGUACUUGGUGUUACUGCGAAGGGGGGACGGAGAAGGCUAUGUUAGCCGGGCGACGGUUGUCCCGGUUUAAGCAUGUAGGCGGAGGUUCCAGGUAAAUCCGGUACCUUUUAACGCUGAGGUGUGAUGACGAGGCACUACGGUGCUGAAGUAACAAAUGCCCUGCUUCCAGGAAAAGCCUCUAAGCAUCAGGUAACAUUAAAUCGUACCCCAAACCGACACAGGUGGUCAGGUAGAGAAUACCAAGGCGCUUGAGAGAACUCGGGUGAAGGAACUAGGCAAAAUGGUGCCGUAACUUCGGGAGAAGGCACGCUGGUGUGUAGGUGAAGUCCCUGCGGAUGGAGCUGAGACCAGUCGAAGAUACCAGCUGGCUGCAACUGUUUAUUAAAAACACAGCACUGUGCAAACACGAAAGUGGACGUAUACGGUGUGACGCCUGCCCGGUGCCGGAAGGUUAAUUGAUGGGGUUAUCCGUAAGGAGAAGCUCUUGAUCGAAGCCCCGGUAAACGGCGGCCGUAACUAUAACGGUCCUAAGGUAGCGAAAUUCCUUGUCGGGUAAGUUCCGACCUGCACGAAUGGCGUAAUGAUGGCCAGGCUGUCUCCACCCGAGACUCAGUGAAAUUGAACUCGCUGUGAAGAUGCAGUGUACCCGCGGCAAGACGGAAAGACCCCGUGAACCUUUACUAUAGCUUGACACUGAACAUUGAGCCUUGAUGUGUAGGAUAGGUGGGAGGCUUUGAAGCGUGGACGCCAGUCUGCGUGGAGCCAACCUUGAAAUACCACCCUUUAAUGUUUGAUGUUCUAACGUAGGCCCCUGACCGGGGUUGCGGACAGUGUCUGGUGGGUAGUUUGACUGGGGCGGUCUCCUCCCAAAGAGUAACGGAGGAGCACGAAGGUUAGCUAAUCCUGGUCGGACAUCAGGAGGUUAGUGCAAUGGCAUAAGCUAGCUUGACUGCGAGCGUGACGGCGCGAGCAGGUGCGAAAGCAGGUCAUAGUGAUCCGGUGGUUCUGAAUGGAAGGGCCAUCGCUCAACGGAUAAAAGGUACUCCGGGGAUAACAGGCUGAUACCGCCCAAGAGUUCAUAUCGACGGCGGUGUUUGGCACCUCGAUGUCGGCUCAUCACAUCCUGGGGCUGAAGUAGGUCCCAAGGGUAUGGCUGUUCGCCAUUUAAAGUGGUACGCGAGCUGGGUUUAGAACGUCGUGAGACAGUUCGGUCCCUAUCUGCCGUGGGCGCUGGAGAAUUGAGGGGGGCUGCUCCUAGUACGAGAGGACCGGAGUGGACGCAUCACUGGUGUUCGGGUUGUCAUGCCAAUGGCACUGCCCGGUAGCUAAAUGCGGAAGAGAUAAGUGCUGAAAGCAUCUAAGCACGAAACUUGCCCCGAGAUGAGUUCUCCCUGAGACUAUAAGUCUCCUGAAGGAACGUUGAAGACGACGACGUUGAUAGGCCGGGUGUGUAAGCGCAG